Molecule: transfer RNA, 65 nt
Filed under: Dipodomys ordii (Ord's kangaroo rat)
Lineage: Eukaryota; Metazoa; Chordata; Mammalia; Rodentia; Heteromyidae
Rfam family: tRNA
About the family: Transfer RNA (tRNA) molecules are approximately 80 nucleotides in length. Their secondary structure includes four short double-helical elements and three loops (D, anti-codon, and T loops).
Source: Rfam by way of RNAcentral
GGUGGCUCAAUGGUAGAGCGCUUGCCUUGCAUGCAGGAGGCCCUGGGUUCUAUUCCUUAGCACCA